UACAGAGGUCUCAAGCGUUGUUCGGAUUCAUUGGGCGUAAAGGGUGCGUAGGUGGCGCGGUAAGUCGGGUGUGAAAUUUCGGAGCUUAACUCCGAAACUGCAUUCGAUACUGCCGUGCUUGAGGACUGGAGAGGAGACUGGAAUUUACGGUGUAGCAGUGAAAUGCGUAGAGAUCGUAAGGAAGACCAGUGGCGAAGGCGGGUCUCUGGGCAGUUCCUGACACUGAGGCACGAAGGCCAGGGGAGCAAACGGG
RNAcentral lists this ribosomal RNA (253 nucleotides) under uncultured bacterium. RNAcentral's name for it is "partial 16S ribosomal RNA". It matches the Rfam family "Bacterial small subunit ribosomal RNA", at positions 524 to 776 of the family's 1533-position model. The record is from RNAcentral.